Molecule: non-coding RNA, 230 nt
Organism: Pelobates cultripes (western spadefoot toad)
Lineage: Eukaryota; Metazoa; Chordata; Amphibia; Anura; Pelobatidae
Source: the annotation of a GenBank genome assembly
UUUAAAGCUUUGCGUUCAUUAUAGCUAAGAUUGUUACGGAGUGGAGUUUCAAUGUGGCUUUUCUCCAACUCACUGGUAGUCAUUUCAACAAAAAGGUCUACAUGUGGAGUGUCCUUCAAGUUAGGAGUAAACCAGCUUUGGGGCUUCAAAUCAGUUAGAGGUUUGGAGGGAUUUUGUUCCUCUAAGAAGUCUGUUAGUAUUUUAGAAAAUUCUAAAUACUCUUUAGAUAG